AUUGUGGGAGUUCCUUCGGUCUACCGGGGCGCAGUCGUUGCUGUGCCUAAGGCUCCGGACUUAUUCGCCAUUGCGAGGAAAACCUCUCCCAAAUGCCUGCCCCUCGACCCGCGCGCCGUUUUCCCCGGGCGCCGCGGCCGCGUCCCGCGACGUCAUGCUACGCGGCCCUGCGAUUGGGUCGUGGGGCGUGACGUAGGGAAGAAGCCCCGACUGGGGACGAUCGCGGUGCGCGGGGGAGUCGUGCUGCGAGAGGGACGAGCGCCGGUCACGAGAGGCAAGCUGCAAGGUACGUGAGCGACCAGCUAUUUGUGUCCCCAACGUCCCGGCCUGGGGACGUUCACGUGCUUUGUUAGCUUGCGUAAGUGUGACUUGCUGAGUGGCUUUGCGUUCCGCCCUUGCGGUAGUCGCAGGCGCUCAGUGCGUCACAUUUUGCGUGUCCGAACCGUCGCAGACCAUUGUCGGUGACGGGAAGCGCUAGGUAGCGUUUGCGAACGCAUUUCGGCCCGCGCGCGUAAACCAUUGUUCGACGCGGCGUGUAACCCGCCUUCCUCGCCAUCGGGAACCGCGGGCGCCGAGUGUACUCCGUGUGUUUGUGUGCAGUCUGGUACAUGUUGGCCAUUGGUGAUCAAUAAACGCCUUAACUGUCCUGGACGCCGUGUGUUCCUGGGAGAGCGCCCAUGCGUACGGCCAGAGCCGUCCAGGUCUUUCGGCUCGGUGCUCGAACCUGCGGUGGGUCUAUCGCCGUGCGCCGUCGUGCCGCGUCGUGAGGCUCCACUUCUCGGGGGCCACUUGGCGACGCCGUGCGCAGAGACGUACUGUGAGCCCACAGUAUAUGUGAUUUAACUCAAGCUGGGGCAGUACCUUGCUUGUUCCAACGCUGGUCACAAUAAGCAACAUGCUGGAAGAAGAAGAAGAAGCGUAUCUGUUCGGUCGCUGUUUUUGUGCGGUGCUCUGAGUUUUCUGGUUUUUGGACAUUUACGGCUACCAUUGACGACGAUUGACCAACAAGACGUCGGGCGAAGGUUCAACGAGCCAGGCGCCUUACAGGCCAGCUUUGCCGCACGUCUGCCCGAACGUGCAGCCAGUAGACGAAGGGUCCGGCUACCAGGUUACCCCCUAGCAGGAGCAACGCCCGCAGCGUGGACGUGGCAUCCAUGACAGCACGAGCGCUGGAACCGAGACCAUCACGAGGUUGCCGGCUUCCUCAUUCCAGGAAAUCGUGAGCUCUCGCUGCCACUCUGGCCCGAUCUACAAGCCUUCGCUGGUCAUCCAGGCCUGGACAAGACAGCAUGACCUCCCACAGUUCUUCGAUCCUUCGCCUAUCCUGUCUUCUCUUCUUUGGCUCUUGCUUCAUUUUCCGCCUUGGUUGUUAUGGGAUUGCCGCACGCACACAUACACACAGGAUACAUGCAGGAUACACACACAUGAAUGAUACAAUUUCAAGGGAUACAGUAAAUUCCGCAACAGUCUCUUUCUAUUUCUAGGUAGAGAGAGACAAACACGCAAGAAAGAAUGAAAAGACAGAAAAAGAGCGAGGGGUAAAGAAGAAAUGAGAAAGCCUAAGGGAGAGAGCCUAGGGUAAAAAAGAAUCUCUUUGGCACUAGAAAGGCCCCCUAGCAAUUUUUAUAGCAAUGUUGAAAACAACAAAUAAAAUCAUACGGUUUUGACAGGCAUGAGCACAG
Molecule: long non-coding RNA, 1682 nt
Organism: Dermacentor albipictus
Lineage: Eukaryota; Metazoa; Arthropoda; Arachnida; Ixodida; Ixodidae
Source: RefSeq, a predicted model, not a curated record